RNAcentral lists this ribosomal RNA (433 nucleotides) under uncultured bacterium. Its description in RNAcentral is "partial 16S ribosomal RNA". It matches the Rfam family "Bacterial small subunit ribosomal RNA", at positions 29 to 507 of the family's 1533-position model. The record is from RNAcentral.
AACGAACGCUGGCGGCAUGCCUAACACAUGCAAGUCGAACGAGACCUUCGGGUCUAGUGGCGCACGGGUGCGUAACGCGUGGGAACCUGCCCUUAGGUUCGGAAUAACUCCCCGAAAGGGGUGCUAAUACCGGAUAAUGUCUUCGGACCAAAGAUUUAUCGCCUUUGGAUGGGCCCGCGUUGGAUUAGCUAGUUGGUAGGGUAAAAGCCUACCAAGGCGACGAUCCAUAGCUGGCCUGAGAGGAUGAUCAGCCACACUGGGACUGAGACAUGGCCCAGACUCCUACGGGAGGCAGCAGUGGGGAAUAUUGGACAAUGGGCGAAAGCCUGAUCCAGCAAUGCCGCGUGAGUGAUGAAGGCCUUAGGGUUGUAAAGCUCUUUUACCCGGGAUGAUAAUGACAGUACCGGGAGAAUAAGCUCCGGCUAACUCCGUG